RNA transcript from Folsomia candida, 2297 nucleotides. It is a transcript of the gene named syntaxin-1A, with no coding region annotated. The transcript is spliced from 5 exons. Lineage: Eukaryota; Metazoa; Arthropoda; Collembola; Entomobryomorpha; Isotomidae. The record is from RefSeq and is a predicted model, not a curated record.
UUUUACUAAAAAUACAAUCAGCAGAUAACUGUUUAAUUUAAUUGCAUAUUUAAAUUGACCAGAUAGACCUGUCUACUAAACAAAUGUGCUUAUGUAUAUCAGUAGUACACGAGUUCAAUGCUUAAAUAGAAUAAUAUCAUGAUGUUUUAAUUUGAUCCAAUAGAUAAAACUUAUGUUGUGGAGGAGAAAGUCCGGGUUCUCUGUAUUGCAUAUACCAGUAACACCAAGAAUUUUACGCCUUACCCCGAAAACGGGUAAUAUGUAUACAUUUCUGCAACCUACAAUGGGACAUGACUCAUCAAUUUUUAUAUAUAUUUUUCGCAAGUGGAGGUAACUAUGUGCUAUACAUGUUGACUCACUGCCUCAUGAUCACAUAAUAAUAUCACGCCAUGGGGUGCAUAAAAGGAAGAUGCAAUCCAAAUCUCAUCUUAUUCCGGAACUAACUUUCUCCACUUGUGCCAUUCUCACAUCUCGUCCCAGCUCACAUUCCAAGUUUCAUGGAAACAUGACGAGGGAUCGGUUAACCGAGUUAAAAUCUGUACAAAAAACAAAUGGUGACUACGAUUAUGACUACGAGUGCAUUGUGGUUGAUUCCGAUUUAUUCAAUGUGGGGAGAGACUCUGAAAUGAUCUCUUUUCUGGAGGAGGUAAAUAAUUACUAUUUUUAUAAAUUGGGAGCAAUGUUUUGAUUUAUACAAAUUAAUUUAUACAAUUUAAUUUCAUUUAUACAAAUUAUACAAAUUUUAAAAUGAUUACUUAGUUGUGUGUAAAUUUAGGUCGAAUGUAUUCGAAAGAAAUUGAGCGAGAUAAAAAAUAACAUAGAGAAAUUGACGGUUAUCCAAGAUGACAUCUUAUCCAUUAUAUCAUUUUCCUAAGAUAACAAAUUUUAUCUUUGUAUUUUGAUGAAAGCAUUCCACGAUUUGCUGUAUGGUUGUAUGGAUGAAAUUCAAAAGUCAUCUGGCCAAGUUAGAGAAAGGUUGAGAGGUGAAAGUGGACGUAACAAACUCAUGCAUAAUGUUCACUUACUUUCAUGAUGUCCUUUGGUAACAUUAGUCAUGGAGGAGGAUGACAUUGAGCGGAUGAUGCCCGACUCUGAGAUUUAUCAGCGUGUAAAAAUGUCUCAGCAUCAGGCUUUAACAAAGGACUUGACAAACUUGAUAACAGAGUAUACAACAGUUCAAGAGGAUUAUACGGAGAAAAUUAAAGCUAAAAUCAGACGACAACUACGUAAAUGUUCUAAAGUUUAAUAAUUAAACUGGAUUAGUUAUAUUGUGUUCGCAAUGAUUCUAGCUGACAACGGGAUAAACUUUGAUGUUGAGACUUUAAUGGAUCAAGGAAAUAUUUCGGCCCUAAUGCAAGGCGUGAGUUGAUAGUCAUGGAGGAAGAGCAAGCCAGAGGAACCAUUCAUUUUAUACAAGCUCGGCAUUCCGAGAUUAUAAAGUUGGAGAAAUCAGUCAAAGAAUUGAACAACCUUUUCGUGGAUGUGUCAAAUCUUACUGAACAACAGAGUGAAAUCCUGGACAAUAUUGGUUACAAUAUGGAGUUCUCAAAAGAGAAAGUUGGCACUGCAACAAGUGAUGUUAGACUGGCCCAUGAAUACACGCGGAAAGAUCGCAAGAAAAAAAUGGCCAUGGCGAUGUGCUUUGUUAUCGUUGGGAUCAUUGCAAUAAUGUCCAUUGCAAAUUUCUUUGGUUUCUAAAACCGUUAUCUCCAUAAAUACACGGUAAAGGUACUACUAAAAUAUGACAAUACUUGUGAAGUUACUCAAAAAUUAUAACCUGGGAGAUUUUCUGCAUGGAUCAUUGUUAAUACUAAAAAAUUAUAUGUAUAAUUUAGAAAUUGGGAUCAGAUUAUAAAAUAAAUGUUUUACUGUGUAAAUACUUAUGUAAGUAUGUACAUAAAUAUGCUCAUGUAUUGUUUUCAUUGCGCAAAUCAUAACGAAUACAAUUGAUCUAGACAAAAAAAUAUGGUCAUAUGUAUAAAAAAACGACUAUUCUGAGGAACAAAUUUGUUGGAUUUCAAACUCGAUGGCCCCAACACAUUCGAUGUAUUGCUGUGCAUGGGGCUGUCUUGGCUUAUACGAGGAUCGCUCAUAUCUUCAAACUCUAUCCGAAGCUGCAUUCAGAUAAACUCUUUUGGUUUUAAAUACAACAUGGUAAUCCUCAUCGUCCAAUAUUCCUAUUGUAUGGUAGCCUAAACAAGCUCUGGCUGAAUACAUAAGUUAGCAGGCAUGGUCGCCAUCGGAAUAUACGCCAUUUGUGUCUUCCUGGCGUCACUGAUGAAGUUUAACCUCUUUGG